AUGAGGAGCUUGACGACGUCUCUCGUGGCGGCGCUGAUGGUACUGCUGCUGUCGGCGCGGGCAGCUCCGGCCGAGCCGUCGACUGCAUCUACCGUCUGUGACGGCAACUACUCGUGCCCCGAGGGCGCGACCUGCUGCUGCAUCUACCGGCAGGGCGAGGAGUGCUUCACCUGGACCUGCUGCCCGCUCCAGGGCACCACCUGCUGCGAUGACAGCUACAGCUGCUGCCCGCAAGAUUACGGCUUCUGCGACACCAAUCUGGGAACCUGCCUCAUGGGUCAGGACAGCCCGCUUUCAGUGAAGGCGCUGAAGCGUACAGUGGCCAAGCCGCACUGGGCUUUCUCGUCAGGACCCAAGGGCACUAAUAUGUCUGAAUCUACGGAAGUAUUCGACACUUGCGACAGCACUACUCGGAUCUGUAGCACGUUAUAA
This 432-nucleotide ribosomal RNA is filed under the name Triticum aestivum (bread wheat). Its description in RNAcentral is "partial small subunit ribosomal RNA". Lineage: Eukaryota; Viridiplantae; Streptophyta; Magnoliopsida; Poales; Poaceae. The record is from RNAcentral.